UGGCCUCUUUCUGUGCUUAUAACUGGAUC
RNAcentral lists this non-coding RNA (29 nucleotides) under Homo sapiens (human). The record is from RNAcentral. Lineage: Eukaryota; Metazoa; Chordata; Mammalia; Primates; Hominidae.